UCUGUAAGGCUUCUUAUUUAGAAUUAUAAAUAACAAUCCUGGCAUUUCCCAAUGUUUAAUUUCCUUGCCUUAUUAUAUAAGACAGUGUGAAUUUUCAGCUUAGGAAGCUGACUUAUGGUGGGCUGUGGGUUCCCUUCUCUGGAAAGAUUUUCGAUUUGAGUGGAAACACAGUGUAGACUUCAGGCUUCAGCUUAUUCAUCUAAAAAAUGUGGGACUUUCCCCCCAGUUGACUUUUACAGUUCAUCUGUAUGACCUACAUUCUUCAGGUGCUCUUAUUUGUUUGUUUGUUUCUUUUCUGGUUGUUCAUCAAAGUUUCUGAGCAGUGUAUCUCAUUUUACAAAUCUCUCCCCUCUUAAGUCAUAGUAAUAUAAGCUUUUCUCCUGCUAUGUGAGGUGAUCUGUGAAUCUCACUUAAAAAUCUCACCUAUUUCUCUGAGGUUGAGAGUGCUGGUGUGACAUGGGAAAGAAGGACUUGAAGAACUUCCCUGAAUAUCACGGUCCUUUUGUGAGUUUCUUCCUUACCUAUAUACCUGAAAUUAUUAAUUAAGCCUGGCACUGCAUAAAAUCCCUGGUUUGUGGUAGUCAUUUGGAAAUCUGUUCCUUUGUAAUAGCUUGCCAUAUUAAGAAGCCAACUAUCACUAUUAUAGCAUUUAUUAUUGUCUGUCCUUUCUCAUUUUCCCAUAGUAAUCUCUGAGACCAGACACUUUGCUAUGUUUACUGCAUAGCUGUAGUGCCUUGAACAUUCCAGGACAGUGCCAGAAAUAUUUGACUAAUGGUCAGUAAAUGCCUACUGAAUGAAUAUGAAAGAAGCCUUCCUUUUUACUUAUGAGGGCAGACUUGGGAAGCACCAUAUGCUAUGAUUCCUUGGCUAUCACUAUAACUGGUCUGAGAUUCCUGGAUACACCACUCCUGACUCAAGGCCUGGAAUCUUGGGACAUUUCAGUCUUAUGAUCCACCA
Molecule: long non-coding RNA, 957 nt
Filed under: Chinchilla lanigera (long-tailed chinchilla)
Lineage: Eukaryota; Metazoa; Chordata; Mammalia; Rodentia; Chinchillidae
Description: lncRNA (ENSCLAG00000024157.1)
Source: RNAcentral